This 66-nucleotide transfer RNA is filed under the name Empoascanara plamka. RNAcentral's name for it is "tRNA-Ser". It matches the Rfam family "tRNA". Rfam says of the family: Transfer RNA (tRNA) molecules are approximately 80 nucleotides in length. Their secondary structure includes four short double-helical elements and three loops (D, anti-codon, and T loops). Lineage: Eukaryota; Metazoa; Arthropoda; Insecta; Hemiptera; Cicadellidae. The record is from RNAcentral.
AGCUAUUUAGCUUAUCUUAAAGCAUUUAUUUUGAAAAUAAAAGAAAGGAACUCAACUUAUUAGCUU